GACGAACGCUGGCGGCGUGCUUAACACAUGCAAGUCGAACGGAAAGGCCCCUUUGGGGGUACUCGAGUGGCGCACGGGUGCGUAACACGUGAGUAACCUGCCCUUGACUUCGGGAUAACUUCAGGAAACUGGGGCUAAUACCGGAUAGGAAUCCUUGCUGCAUGGUGGGGGUUGGAAAGCUUCUGCGGUUUUGGAUGGAUUCGCGGCUUAUCAGCUUGUUGGUGGGGUAGUGGCUUACCAAGGCUUUGACGGGUAGCCGGCCUGAGAGGGCGACCGGCCACAUUGGGACUGAGAUACGGCCCAGACGCCUACGGGAGGCAGCAGGGGGGAAGAUUGAACAAUGGGCGGAAGCCGGAUGCAGCAACGCCGCGGGCGGGAUGACGGCCUUCGGGUUGUAAACCGCUUUCAGCAGGGGCGAAGCUUGUGGUGACGGUACCUGCAGAAGAAGCACCGGCUAACUACGUG
This 465-nucleotide ribosomal RNA is filed under the name uncultured bacterium. RNAcentral describes it as "partial 16S ribosomal RNA". It matches the Rfam family "Bacterial small subunit ribosomal RNA", at positions 28 to 507 of the family's 1533-position model. The record is from RNAcentral.